Molecule: ribosomal RNA, 750 nt
Filed under: uncultured bacterium
Lineage: Bacteria
Description: bacterial SSU rRNA
Rfam family: Bacterial small subunit ribosomal RNA
Source: RNAcentral
AUUGAACGCUGGCGGCAGGCUUAACACAUGCAAGUCGAACGAUGAAGAUAUAGCUUGCUAUAUUGGAUUAGUGGCGGACGGGUGAGUAACACUUAGGAAUCUACCUUUUAGCGGGGGAUAGCUCGGGGAAACUCGAAUUAAUACCGCAUAAUUUCUACGGAAUAAAGAGGGCUUUUAGCUCUCACUAGAAGAUGAGCCUAAGUAAGAUUAGCUAGUUGGUGGGGUAAAAGCCUACCAAGGCGACGAUCUUUAGCUGGUCUGAGAGGAUGAUCAGCCACACUGGGACUGAGACACGGCCCAGACUCCUACGGGAGGCAGCAGUGGGGAAUAUUGGACAAUGGGGGCAACCCUGAUCCAGCCAUGCCGCGUGUGUGAAGAAGGCCUUUUGGUUGUAAAGCACUUUAAGCAGUGAAGAAGACCUAUUGGUUAAUACCCAAUAGCGAUGACAUUAACUGCAGAAUAAGCACCGGCUAACUCUGUGCCAGCAGCCGCGGUAAUACAGAGGGUGCAAGCGUUAAUCGGAAUUACUGGGCGUAAAGCGAGCGUAGGUGGUUAAAUAAGUCAGAUGUGAAAGCCCUGGGCUCAACCUAGGAACGGCAUCUGAAACUAUUUAACUAGAGUAGGUGAGAGGGAAGUAGAAUUUCAGGUGUAGCGGUGAAAUGCGUAGAGAUCUGAAGGAAUACCGAUGGCGAAGGCAGCUUCCUGGCAUCAUACUGACACUGAGGCUCGAAAGCGUGGGUAGCAAACAGG